This 96-nucleotide transfer RNA is filed under the name Deinococcus wulumuqiensis. RNAcentral's name for it is "tRNA-Arg". Lineage: Bacteria; Thermotogati; Deinococcota; Deinococci; Deinococcales; Deinococcaceae. The record is from RNAcentral.
CAGCGGCGCAGGUCGCGCAGGGAGGCCUGAAGUGUCCGCCACUGCUCCAGCGUCAGUCCGAGGGCGCGGGCCUGUUCUUCCUCGGACUGCUGCUGG